GAGGAUCCAAACUACACACUGGACAAACUCAAGAGGUGUAAAAUCCAGAAAAAUGGGGUCCAGUCAGGAGCAUUCAAAUUGAGAACAAAAGCAGAACACGACAGGCAAGUCGGUGAAUUGGUACGUGAUGGUGCUUUAAGUGAACAGUUAGCAGAAGAAAAAAGUAGAUCAGUCUAAUAUGUUAUUGUGUUUUGGUCUGUGUUUGCAAUUUUAUUUAUUUAUUUUUUUAAUUCACCUUUAUAUUUUAGUUUGCACCGCUUAUAUGCACCUUUCUAUUUUGCCCUACUUUGAAUAUUGUUUACAAAUAAAAGCUCUUGUUUA
Danio rerio (zebrafish) is the source of this 321-nucleotide non-coding RNA. NCBI's taxonomy places the organism in Eukaryota, Metazoa, Chordata, Actinopteri, Cypriniformes, Danionidae. The record is from RefSeq and is a predicted model, not a curated record.